Molecule: ribosomal RNA, 250 nt
Filed under: uncultured bacterium
Lineage: Bacteria
Description: partial 16S ribosomal RNA
Rfam family: Bacterial small subunit ribosomal RNA
Source: RNAcentral
UGAGGAAUAUUGGACAAUGGAGGAAACUCUGAUCCAGCCAUGCCGCGUGAGUGAAGAAGGCCUUCGGGUUGUAAAGCUCUUUUGUCCCUGACGAUAAUGACGGUAGGGGAAGAAAAAGCCACGGCUAACUUCGUGCCAGCAGCCGCGGUAAUACGAAGGUGGCAAGCGUUGUUCGGAUUUACUGGGCGUAAAGAGUGCGUAGGCGGUUUGAUAAGUCAGAAGUGAAAGCCCAGGGCUCAACCUUGGAAUU